CCAGAGAGUUCCCGGAGGACGUUUAGGGUCUAGUCUCUUCAAAGAUGCACGACCGGGACUCUCAAGUAGCUCCUCCAAUGUCAGAUUGUUGAGACGCCCAGUUGGUGGUUGAGUCGCUGAAUGGGAUGGAUUAGGCGAGUUUGGAUUGGAUGGUGGAGGAGUCAAACCAUCGGCUUGUUGGUUUUGACUGGCUGGCGUCUGAGGCGAGGUUGGAUUACGGUUUCUCAAUGCAUUGCCUUGAGAAUUGGAAGCACGACGGGAAGGAGCAGCUACAUUUUGCGUGGAUAGAUACCUAUUAUAGUCGUUUCCAGAAUACCCAGACAUCUACAAGAAACAAAGAAAAUAUUAGGAACUCUAAAUAACAAUUGAAACCCUAAAUAGAAACCCUAAACAACGAAAGAAAACUGAAGAUUUAAAAAGAAUUAGGUUGAUUAGUAUAAACCCUAAAUCGAGAACAAAAAUCGAUUUGUGUAUAAACCUAAAUCGGAACCCUAAAUUGAAAAAUACUAAUAUCUAUUGAAAAAUAAUAGAUUUGUUUAGGAUUUGAACGGAGAAGAAGAGAGAUUAAACAGAGAAGAAUAAACCCUAAAACGAAUCGAACAACUUUACCUCUGUAGAUUCACGAAGAAGUAGGUUGGUCGGAGAAGAAGAGAGAAUCGGAGAAGACAAGAGGUUAAUCGGAGAAGAAGAGCGGUUAAUCGGAGAAGAAGAGAUCAUCGGAGAAGAAGAGAUCAUCGGAGAAGACGAGGGAAAAUUAGGGUUUUCGGUUGAAUCGGAGAAGACGAGGGAAAACUAUACCCUAUAUAUAUAAAUUUCGUCGCAAAUCCCUAUCAAAAUAUUAUCGCAAGU
This 849-nucleotide long non-coding RNA is filed under the name Arabidopsis lyrata. RNAcentral describes it as "long non-coding RNA (ALYR_LNC001416)". Lineage: Eukaryota; Viridiplantae; Streptophyta; Magnoliopsida; Brassicales; Brassicaceae. The record is from RNAcentral.